AUGCCGUCCCCCACGUGCUACCUCCUCCUGAACCCUUCCAGGGCCUGCCACCGCCUCCUCCCGCCGUCUCCGCGCCUCCCCGCCCGCUGCGCCCGCCUCCGUGUCUCCUGCGACGUGCCGCGGCAGGGGGGUGACGACGGCGGCGGGCCCAAGCGCGGGGUCAUCCCCGCCGGAGCCGGAAAGGGCAAGAAGCAGGUCGUGUUCUUCGACGCCGCGCCGCCGGUGGCCCAGCAGGGAGACGGCGAGGAUGGGAAGGGGAAGGCGCCGGAGGUGAAGCAGGACGGCGCGGCGCUGCGGGCGCUGAGGCGCGCGACCAAGCGAACGCUGUCGGUCCUGUCCAACCUCCCGCUCGCCAUCGCCGAGAUGUUCGCCAUUGCCGGCCUCAUGGCCCUGGGCACGGUGAUUGACCAGGGAGAGCCGCCGAGCCACUACUUCGAGCAGUUCCCCGAGGACAACCCGGUGUUCGGCUUCAUCACCUGGAGGUGGAUCCUCACCCCGGGCUUCGACCACAUGUUCUCCUCGCCGGUCUUCCUCGGCUUACUCGCGCUCCUCGCGGCCUCGCUAAUGGCCUGCACCUUCACCACCCAAUUGCCCAUGGUGAAGGUGGCGAAAAGAUGGUCGUUUAUGAGUUCAGGGGGAAGCAUUAGGAAGCAAGAUUUUGCGGAAUCUCUUCCCCGCGCAUCUAUUCAGGAUUUGGGGGUCAUCUUGAUGGGUGCCGGAUAUGAGGUCUUCACAAAGGGCCCAUCCUUGUAUGCCUUCAAGGGUCUGGCUGGUCGGUAUGCGCCUAUCGGUGUGCACGUGGCGAUGAUUUUUGUCAUGGCAGGUGCCACUCUUUCUGCGACCGGAAGCUUUAAAGGCUCGGUUGAUGUCCCCCAAGGGCUGAAUUUCGUCAUUGGAGAUAUCAUGAAACCCAAAGGCAUUUUCUCCGUCGCACCGGAUGUUUUCAAUACGGAAGUCCAUGUCAAUCGGUUCUACAUGGAGUACUAUGAUAGUGGAGAGGUUUCACAAUUUUAUAGCGAUCUUUCACUUUUCGACCUUGAUGGCAAAGAAGUAAUGAGGAGGACGAUCAAAGUUAAUGAUCCCCUGAGGUAUGGUGGGAUCACGAUAUACCAAACGGACUGGGGGUUUUCAGCAUUACAGGUGAAGAAAAAUGGUGAAGGACCUUUUAACUUGGCCAUGGCACCCUUGCAACUGAAUGGCAAUAAAAAGCUAUACGGAACAUUCUUGCCACUUGAAGACUCUGAUUCUUCAGGUGUCAAGGGAAUAUCAAUGCUUGCUCGAGAUCUUCAGUCUAUUGUGUUGUAUGAUCAAGAUGGCAAGUUUGUAGGAGUUCGCCGGCCAAGCUCUAAACUCCCCAUUGAAAUCAAUGGUAAUGAAAUACUAAUUGAAGACGCUAUUGGCAGUACUGGUCUGGAUCUCAAGACUGAUCCCGGAAUUCCUAUCGUAUAUGCUGGAUUCGGCGCGCUCAUGUUGACGACCUGCAUUAGCUAUCUUUCACAUGCUCAGCUGUGGGCGCUGCAAGAUGGAACUACAGUGGUUGUCGGAGGAAAGUCGAAUCGAGCCAAGAUUGAAUUUUCUGAUGAGAUGAACCGGUUACUUAAUAAAGUACCAGAGUUGGUCAGUGUUGGUGAGAAAACAGUAGAUAAAUCAAGUACUGCGUGA
Molecule: ribosomal RNA, 1662 nt
Filed under: Triticum aestivum (bread wheat)
Lineage: Eukaryota; Viridiplantae; Streptophyta; Magnoliopsida; Poales; Poaceae
Description: partial small subunit ribosomal RNA
Source: RNAcentral